GACGAACGCUGGCGGCGUGCUUAACACAUGCAAGUCGAACGGAAAGGCCCUGCUUGUAGGGUACUCGAGUGGCGAACGGGUGAGUAACACACGGGUGAUUUGCCCUGCUCUUCGGGAUAAGCCUGGGAAACAGGGUCUAAUACAGGAUAGGAGCCAUUUUUAGUCUGAUGGUUGGAAAGUGUUUUGGGUGUGGGAUGAGCUCGCGGGCUGUCUGCUUGCUGGUGGGGUAAUGGCCUACCAAGGCGGCGUCGGGUAGCCGGCCUGCGUGGGUGGACGGCCACAUUGGGACCUAGGGACGGCCCAGGCUCCUACGGGAGGGAACAGGGGGGAAUAUUGCACGAUUGGCGCAAGCCUGGUGCAGCGACGCCGCGUGGGGGAUGACGGCCUUCGGGUUGUAAAAUCCUUUCGCUAGGGACGAAGCUUUUUGUGACGGUACCUAGAUAAGAAGCACCGGCUAACUACGUG
Molecule: ribosomal RNA, 465 nt
Filed under: uncultured bacterium
Lineage: Bacteria
Description: partial 16S ribosomal RNA
Rfam family: Bacterial small subunit ribosomal RNA
Source: RNAcentral